CACACCACUGUCCGCCAAAUAACUACGAGUACAAACUUAAAAUUUAAAGGACUUGACGGUAUUUCACACCCAGCCUAGAGGAGCCUGUCUACUAACCGAUAACCCACGAUUAACCCAACCAUUUCUAGCCCCCAGCCUAUAUACCACCGUCGCCAGCUUACCUUACAAAAGAAAUGAUAGUAAGCUAAACAGUAAUACACUAGAACGACAGGUCAAGGUGUAGCUAAUGAAACGGACUAAGAUGGGCUACAUUUUCUAACCCAGAUUAUACGAACCAGGUCAUGAAACAAACCUUCGAAGGCGGAUUUAGCAGUAAGCUGAGAACACAACACUCAACUGAAACCAAUGCAAUGAAAUGCGUACACACCGCCCGUCAUCCCUGUUACACAACCAACCAAAAACAUAUAAAAUAAACCUAUAAUCAAAACAGGGCAAGUCGUAACA
Molecule: ribosomal RNA, 444 nt
Filed under: Rhinophis erangaviraji
Lineage: Eukaryota; Metazoa; Chordata; Lepidosauria; Squamata; Uropeltidae
Description: partial 12S ribosomal RNA
Source: RNAcentral